This 896-nucleotide ribosomal RNA is filed under the name Hypomyces robledoi. RNAcentral's name for it is "LSU rRNA". It matches the Rfam family "Eukaryotic large subunit ribosomal RNA", at positions 38 to 964 of the family's 3401-position model. The record is from RNAcentral. Lineage: Eukaryota; Fungi; Ascomycota; Sordariomycetes; Hypocreales; Hypocreaceae.
GCAUAUCAAUAAGCGGAGGAAAAGAAACCAACAGGGAUUGCCCCAGUAACGGCGAGUGAAGCGGCAACAGCUCAAAUUUGAAAUCUGGCCCCUAGGGCCCGAGUUGUAAUUUGUAGAGGAUGCUUUUGGUGCGGCACCGCCCGAGUUCCCUGGAACGGGACGCCACAGAGGGUGAGAGCCCCGUCUGGCUGGACGCCAAGCCUCUGUAAAGCUCCUUCGACGAGUCGAGUAGUUUGGGAAUGCUGCUCAAAAUGGGAGGUAUAUGUCUUCUAAAGCUAAAUAUUGGCCAGAGACCGAUAGCGCACAAGUAGAGUGAUCGAAAGAUGAAAAGCACUUUGAAAAGAGGGUUAAACAGUACGUGAAAUUGUUGAAAGGGAAGCGCUCGUGACCAGACUUGGGCUUGGCGAAUCAUCCAGGGUUCUCCCUGGUGCACUUUGCCUCGUCUAGGCCAGCAUCGGUUCGCUGCGGGGGAUAAAGGUUUCGGGAACGUGGCUCCUCCGGGAGUGUUAUAGCCCGUUGCGCAAUACCCUGUGGUGGACCGAGGUUCGCGCAUCUGCAAGGAUGCUGGCGUAAUGGUCACCGGCGACCCGUCUUGAAACACGGACCAAGGAGUCGUCUUCGUAUGCGAGUGUUCGGGUGUCAAACCCCUACGCGAAAUGAAAGUGAACGCAGGUGAGAGCUUCGGCGCAUCAUCGACCGAUCCUGAUGUUCUCGGAUGGAUUUGAGUAAGAGCAUACGGGGCCGGACCCGAAAGAAGGUGAACUAUGCCUGUAUAGGGUGAAGCCAGAGGAAACUCUGGUGGAGGCUCGCAGCGGUUCUGACGUGCAAAUCGAUCGUCAAAUAUGGGCAUGGGGGCGAAAGACUAAUCGAACCUUCUAGUAGCUGGUUUCCGCCGA